CUUUCUCAGUUUGUUGUUUGAAUAUUAAAAUGAGAGUAUUGUAAUGUAAUGCAAAAUUGCAAAUUGAUUUGUUUAUUGAAGAAUUUUUGCUUUGUAUGUUUUCUUGUACUCUCUGUUAUUAGUUUCUACAUAUAUAUAUAUAUAUAUACACACAUAUUGAGGUAUAUAUAAUGACUUGUGAGGAACCAUGUUAAGAUUCUUGUAGAAAAAGUAGGAGAUAAUGUGUCCCUCUUUUAACUGUAUAUAGGAUCUCAUUUCGUGCUUAUAAUGUGUGUGCUUGCUGGUGCCUUUUUGCUCAGCUGCAUUUUUAUGUGCAUUGUUGGUGUACUCGUGACACGACCCACCCUAAAUUUCAUCCUGAAACCCGGAGUAAGUCGUGCGGGGACCACCUCCAAGGAAAAUUUACUGAAAAGAUUGAGAAAAUCUCCCUUGCAGAUGGACAACCCUAACUCGAAAAUUCUAAAUUUCACUCUUAAUUCAACACUUCCAAACAUCACAUAAUUAUCCUUCAGAAAUUCUACACAUAAUAUACAAUAAUCCCAAAGUAUUCAGAGCUACUAAACACAAGCGGAAGCAAGAAAACACGAGUAGGUUGAACAGGUAACCUACUGAAGAAAACUGGCAGAAAUGCGGGUGACUAUGCCUCGCCUCCUACUAGAUCCAACCCGAACUCUGCAGACUGGGCAAUUUAAAACGAAAGGCCCAGGGGAAAACAUUUAAUAACGUUAGAGUGAGUGGACAAAAAUAAAAUAAAGGAAAUAAUUCUUUAUGCUUUCCCCAAUUUUUACUUUUCCAUAGAAAAGAAAAUAUGCUGCAUGCGACAGCUCAAAACGCUCAACACGAAAACUGGAAUUUCAUGACUGGCACCGGCCAGUCUCCAACGCUCAAUAAAAUACAGCCUUUCAGGCUAAAAUAAAAUAUGUAUGUAUUACACUCGUCAUAUCCCUUGUAUGAAUUUUCUUAAAACAACUAAAACAAAUAGUAAAUUCACACAAGGCUACAACGCUUGCGUCUAACGCUCACGUUGCACCAUAAUGGCAUUUUACCUCAUUAUGGUGGAAA
RNAcentral lists this long non-coding RNA (1062 nucleotides) under Fragaria vesca (wild strawberry). Its description in RNAcentral is "long non-coding RNA (FVES_LNC000250)". Lineage: Eukaryota; Viridiplantae; Streptophyta; Magnoliopsida; Rosales; Rosaceae. The record is from RNAcentral.